GGCACUGUGGUCUAGUAGUCAGGGCACUGGACUGGGAAUCAAGAGACAUUGGGUUUAUUCCUAGCUCUGCCA
RNAcentral lists this transfer RNA (72 nucleotides) under Chelonia mydas (Green sea turtle). It matches the Rfam family "tRNA". From Rfam's summary of the family: Transfer RNA (tRNA) molecules are approximately 80 nucleotides in length. Their secondary structure includes four short double-helical elements and three loops (D, anti-codon, and T loops). Further hydrogen bonds mediate the characteristic L-shaped molecular structure. tRNAs have two regions of fundamental functional importance: the anti-codon, which is responsible for specific mRNA codon recognition, and the 3' end, to which the tRNAs corresponding amino acid is attached (by aminoacyl-tRNA synthetases). tRNAs cope with the degeneracy of the genetic code in two manners: having more than one tRNA (with a specific anti-codon) for a particular amino acid; and 'wobble' base-pairing, i.e. permitting non-standard base-pairing at the 3rd anti-codon position. The record is from Rfam by way of RNAcentral. Lineage: Eukaryota; Metazoa; Chordata; Testudines; Cheloniidae.